This 496-nucleotide ribosomal RNA is filed under the name uncultured bacterium. Its description in RNAcentral is "partial 16S ribosomal RNA". It matches the Rfam family "Bacterial small subunit ribosomal RNA", at positions 29 to 507 of the family's 1533-position model. The record is from RNAcentral.
AUGCACGCUGGCGGCGUGCCUAAUACAUGCAAGUCGCGCGAACAGACGAGGAGCUUGCUUCUCUGACGUUAGCGGCGGACGGGUGAGUAACACGUGGAUAACCUACCUAUAAGACUGGGAUAACUUCGGGAAACCGGAGCUAAUACCGGAUAAUAUAUUGAACCGCAUGGUUCAAUAGUGAAAGACGGUUUUGCUGUCACUUAUAGAUGGAUCCGCGCCGCAUUAGCUAGUUGGUAAGGUAACGGCUUACCAAGGCAACGAUGCGUAGCCGACCUGAGAGGGUGAUCGGCCACACUGGAACUGAGACACGGUCCAGACUCCUACGGGAGGCAGCAGUAGGGAAUCUUCCGCAAUGGGCGAAAGCCUGACGGAGCAACGCCGCGUGAGUGAUGAAGGUCUUCGGAUCGUAAAACUCUGUUAUUAGGGAAGAACAAAUGUGUAAGUAACUAUGCACGUCUUGACGGUACCUAAUCAGAAAGCCACGGCUAACUACGUG